Molecule: small RNA, 107 nt
Filed under: Marmota monax (woodchuck)
Lineage: Eukaryota; Metazoa; Chordata; Mammalia; Rodentia; Sciuridae
Source: RNAcentral
CCCAGGCACGGUGGUGCGAGCCUGUAAUCCCAGCAACACGGGAGGCUGAGGCAGGAGGAUUGCAGGUUGAAGGCCAGCCUUGGCAACUUCGUGAGACCCUGUCUCAG